UAUAUCUGAGUGGAUAGUCCAAAUUCCCAUCCAAAAUAUUUGUAGCAACAGACUGUCAAUUGUUGAAGUUUCUGACUCUACCAGUAUAGAUGCCUGACUAUGCAUAGAAUUAAAUUAAAAUUUAUAAUUUAUAGCAAUAAUUUAAUGAUAUAUAUGGAUAUCUUUUAAGCUAGAAAGGACAGGGCCUUAAAAGUCAGUUUGAAAAGAUAUGAAAAAAAUCAAUAAACAAAAUUUCAAUUCUUUUUCCAGAACCACCAAACAUAUCACUCUUUUCCUAGAGCUACUCAAUAAUUUUUAUUUAAUCAUUUCUGAGUUCAUUUUUCUAAAAUGUUUAACAUAGCUUAGAGAGAUUUUUGCCAGCCAGGGACAAUUGCUUUAAUUAAAGAAGUUUGUGCAAAAUACUACAUUCAAAGUGUCCCUUUCUGAUUCAUAUCUAAGAGAUCUGCUUUAAUCGUUUGAAAAUGUGUUCAGCUCAAACCAGAGCUGCUUCACAUUUGACACAUUGGGAAAGUGAUUGGCACUGUCUGGGUCUAAUGCAAAACAGCUGUGUUAUACUUGAAAGAAUUGUUUUGGUCUCAAAAUGCCAUGUUUUAAUACAAAACAGUUUACAUUUAAAAUGUUUUGCACAUUACUGGAUAUAAAUAUAUUCCAUCAAAAGCAGCGUUGUAUGCUUUGUAAACAUGCAGUUCCCAGCCAUGGGUUUGCUAAUGAAUAUAGGAAAGAGACAGUUUAGAAUCCUGCUGUAUAUUUCCUGGAUGCUCCUAAUUUUCAGCAAAUUGGGCCUCUUCCUUCUCUUUAUUCUGCUGUGUCAGUGGCCUGGAGUUUAUCAGAAGGAAGCAUGUGUUGGCCCCAAAUAUUAAUACAACUGCAAUAUGCUUGCACACUCUCAUUGCCUAGAGAGAAAGAAGUGUACUGUUAAACAUAAACUUUUUUUAAUGUGCAAAAGCUGAUUGUAUCCUAUGGCCACUUGGCCUUGAAAAUUAUUUUAAACAUACUGUGAAGAAGGAAGAGGAUCACAAUCAUGGUGGCACUGAAAUAAGGAAGUUUUGCUUUGCAGAAUAAGUACCGUGUCACAAACUUGUUUUGAGCAAUAGUAUCUAGAAAACAUAGGACGGUGAACUUCAUAUGUUGUUGUUUUUUUUAGUUCUGGUGGUGCUUUUGAAUCAAUGUUGACACCUGGUAAGUGCCUGGACAAGUCACUGUAGUUUUCUUGACGAGAUUUCAGAAGUGGUUUGCCCUUGCUUUCUUCAUAGGACUGAGAGAGCACUAGCCCAAAGUCACCUAGCUGGCUUCGUGCCUAAGGCAGGACUAGAACUCAUGGUUUCUCUGUUUCUACCUGUUGUCAACCACUAGCACCAGCUGGCUCUCUGUUUUAUUCUUCUUGCUGUGUAGCUUGGGUUAUAUGCCUUUAAAUUAUACAUGUUUGGAGUAUAGUCUGGAGUUUGAGCAUAUUUAUUAUCUAAACAGGUGUUUCAACUGUAAAAAGAAAAAUGCAUAACUGGGUGUGGAGAUUGUCCUCAAAUUACAACUGGUCACUUAAUAAUUGUUUAAAGUUACGAGGGUAAAUAAAUAAAUAACCUUUAAAAGGUUAUUUAUGUUCUGUCCUCAAAGUUACAGGUGCAAUACCACCCUGGCAGUGGUAUGAUUGCAUUUUGGGCACUUGGCAUUCAGUUUGCAUUUGUAAUUGGUUACAGCAACCUGUAGAUAAUAUGAACACAUUUUAUCUUGUAUAUUAAAACAAGCUAGUUUUAUAAAUAAUAAUUAAGGACAACUACAGUUAACUGUACUAAUAAAGUACAACAAUAACAUUCUUUCUAGCAGAUGCAUCCAAAAAAGAACUGAUCCAAAUAACUGAUUUUUAUAAAUUUAAACAUCCAAUAUACAAAAAAGGUUUAGCAUUUCAUAUGAAUGGAGGUAGAUUCAUGCUAAGCCAGGCUUCUCCAAACUCCUAAGCAUCAAUGGGACUAGCUGUUGUUAUUUGUAGUACUUGUUAAUAUUGGUAUCUAGUAGUAUUUAUUAAAUUAUUUUCAUAUAAAUGAUUGGAGAUCGAUGAACAAUAUGCAAUUUCAUGAAAAGGUCCAUGAGUUUGGGGGCCACUAAAUUGUAAUGUAGUUUGGCUUUGACUUUAAUCUGAUGUGUGAAAUUUAAGAUUUGUCAGUUGCUGUUACUGUAUCUGCAAACCAGCCUGAUUGAAAGAAAUAAUUAUUUUUGGUCUAAAAAAUAAUGAUUUAUUGGGACUUGACCAGCUCUUUACAUUUUGAAGUAAGAUGUAAUGGACCAGCAAUGGGGGAAUGGAAUUAGAAUAUGGAUGAAGAUGAUAAUGUUUCCUCUGCCAUGGAAACAGAAUAUUGUGGUCUGUCUAGAGCAGGGAGUUAGAUGUUUUUGGAGAUCCUUAGUCAUCCAGGUUAUGGUUGUUCAAGAGAUGCUUUUCCAAAAGCAGCUGGAUUUUCUUUGUUAUCCUUUGAAGACAUUUUGCUUCUCAUCCCAAGAAGCUUCUUCAGUUCUUGUAUGAGAAGUUGAAUAUCUUUAAGGAAAAACAAAGAAAGUCCAGUUGCUUUUUGAAAAGCACCUUUGGGUCUGUGAGCUAGCUUUGCUCUUUUCUAAUGCACAGGCCAAAUAGGAUCCAAACUCCUAAUUGUGCAAAGUUAAAUUUAACAAAUGCAAAUUACAGGCUCACACUUGGCCUCCAACCAAGAGAUUCAUUAGUAUUGAAACUUCAAAAACACCAGGUGCAAGCACAACCAAUAUUCUUUAGAAAAGAGGUAACAAUUCUUAGCAGAUGCACAGACACCAAACAUUGAUUUUUAGCUCAAUGGAUGGAUUUGUAUUCAGCAAUCGUCUGCUAGUUGUUUAUCUUGAAUUCUGGACCAGGAGGGUGCAAAGGUACAGAAAAUCCCUGAUGCAAUCUGUAAAUAUUGUUCCUUUUUACCAGAAAUGUCAGAGGACAAUGGCACAACAAAUGUCACAAGCUAAGUGGUCUGUUUAUUGUUGGCAUCUAUCUUUUUGCUCCUGUCAAGUUUCCUCUAGUUAUUUGCUCCUUCAGAAAGGAGCUUUGAAAAGGCUGGGAGGACCAGAGGCAACAACAGCCAACUGGGUUAAUGGGCUUUCCUCUAGUUUUUAAGUUAGCAAAAAUAGGAUGCUGGCAAAGACAGCAUCUGCAGUUAUCAUUAUAGUUGGCUCUGUUUAAGAGCAGUAGUUGGGGGAUUCCUCCUCAGCUUCAUUUCCCCUUCCUACUGAACAUCACCAAUUGGUGGAUGGAACAGCCCUCAAAGACCAAAGAACUAUUCAGUAGACCAGGUUUUUUUGGAACCUUUCCAGAUAAGAAUAGGAUGGGAGCUCACUCACAUGUACUCCAGAUGGCUGCUUCUCAUGAGAUGCCACAGGACAGCAGUCUUCAGAAGGUUUCAGUGUCAGGAUAUAAAGGGAUUGGUCAUCUUGUUCACAACUGCAGUGGAGCAUUUUAAAACUUAGGUCCCCAACCCCAAGGCAGCAGCCUGGUCCUGGGUUGGGACACAUUUAGAACUGGGCCGUACAUAUUAGAUUUGCAAAGAAAAGAGUAAGAGACAUAGUUUAUAAGAUAAUAAGAGAUGAACCAAUGAUUUAUAAGGAUAGAGAAAUCCAAACUUUGAAGCAAGUGCCAAGAAGAGUGAAAGAGUAGAGAAGAGAUUACUGCUUUCUGGCAACACAACUGACCAAACAUAAUGUACUAUUUAAGGUGGUUAAUAGCAGAAGGAAUGAUGGUUACAUGGCAGGGGGAAAAAAUCAAGAUUGACAACAUAGAUAAGUCACAAGAACUUUUAGGGACAAAAGAAAAUUACAGCAGCAAGAGAAACUAGAAAGCAGAAGUCAAGAAGACCAACAACGAGAGAUAAAAUAACCAGAACAGGAAGGAAGAAGCAAGGAGGAAAUGGAACAACAUGAAAAAGAAGGAAUAAGAACAAGAGCACAAAGAGACGUAAAGACCAACAGAAGACAGAGACAAGUCAACAAAUAAAACAAUGGAAGAAGAAGUCAAGUUACUAUCAAUAAAUAUUAAUGGACUAAAUUCCCCUACUAAAAGAAAACAAAUACUUGCAAAAUUAGCUAAACUGAUUGUGGACAUAGUGUACCUGCAAGAGGUACAUAUGAAAAAGCAGCACGGUAAUUAUUUAGAAUAUUCAAAAUUAGGAACGCUGUACACACACUAGCAGAUCAAAAAAGAGAGGAGUAGCUGCAUAUGUGAAGGAAAAGUUAAAGGCUAAACAAAUUUAUGCAGACAAAACAGAAGAAUAUUAAUGAUUGAAUUAAUGAUAUGUCAAAAACAAAUGUUUCUGGUGGUAAUAUACGCUCCAAACGAUAAUCAGAAAGAGUUUUACAGUAAAUUAUAGGGGAAAAUAAUAGAAAUAGGACGGGGAAUAUAUGUUUAGUUGGUGACUUUAACGCAAUAGUAGACAUAAAAAAAAGAUUAUAUAAACAACAACAAAAAACAAGAAGAAAAAAGGAAAGUCUUACCAACACCUUUUUUGAGAUGAUGCACAAAUUAAAUCUGGUGGACUUGUGGAGAAACCUAAACCCAAAUAAGAAUAAAUAUACUUUUUCUCCAACUCACAUAACUCAUGGUCAAGGAUAGACAUGGUUCGGAUGAAUGGGGAAUUAGGGAAAGAUAUAGACACAAUGGAAAUUAUGCCAAAUAUAUGGGUGGACCACAAUCCCCUACAGGUAACUUGGAAAGGCCAAAAGGAGGAGGAGGAGGAGGAGGAGGAGGAGGAGGAGGAGGACACAGAUAUUAAAAGAAGAAGAAUAUACCCCCACCCCCCAAAAAAGGAAUUGAAAUUAUUUUUUAGGGAAAAUACUAAGCAACAUACAUCACUGCAGAAUCUAUAGGACACCACAAAGCCUAUGUGCAAGGAAUGACGAUAGCAUAUACAGCGAGAAGAAACAAAGAAAAAUGGAGAUGACAAAAUUAGCUACAGGAAGAGAUUAAAAAAAUAGAAAUUCAAUUACAAAAAGAAUCACAGAAUAAUACAAUUAAAGGGCAAGUGGCUUUAGCCAGACAUAAAUUAAGUGUCUCAAAUUAGAAAGGGCACAAAAUCUAAAAUCUGCAAAACAGAACUUUUUUGAAUUUGCAAAUAAACCAGGGAGAUGGCUGGCUUAUAAAUUAAAAAAAGAAAAGGAAAAAAGGUUAAUACAUCAUCUACAGGAUGAAAAUGGGGCUUUACAACACCAUAUGGAAGAGAAAAAAAGAAUUACGCAAAAUUACUUUGAAAAGCUUUAUAAACAAGAAGAAAUAACUAAUGAAAAUAUAUUGCAAUAUUGAAAAGAGAAAGGUUUUCUCCCGAUAGCUGAAGAAAAGAGAGAAAUGUUGAAAAGGGAAAUAACGUUAACAGAAUUGAAAAGGGCAAUACAAAGACAGAAAAAUAACAAAUCCCCGGGACCAGAUGGAAUCUCAAGGGAACUUUAUAAGAAUAUAUAUGAAUUGAUGGAGCUUUGAAUGUUAGAAGUGUAUAAUGAAGCAUUGAUAGAGGCUAGAUUGCCAGAAUCCUGGGCUGAGGCAUACAUUACAUUAAUACCCAAAGAGGGCAUAAAUCACCAACAAAUUAAAAACUAUAGGCGAAUGUCGCUGCUAAAUGUCAUUUAUAAAAUAUCACCAUAAUAGCGGAAAGGAUGAAAAAACUACUAAAUGAAAUCAUAUAUUCAGAUCAAAAUGGAUUUCUACCUACAAGACAGAUUAGAAAUAACACAAGGAUGGUGGUAAAUAUACUGGAGUAUUACUAGGCACAUCCC
Molecule: non-coding RNA, 5763 nt
Organism: Pseudonaja textilis
Lineage: Eukaryota; Metazoa; Chordata; Lepidosauria; Squamata; Elapidae
Source: RefSeq, a predicted model, not a curated record